Molecule: ribosomal RNA, 483 nt
Filed under: uncultured bacterium
Lineage: Bacteria
Description: partial 16S ribosomal RNA
Rfam family: Bacterial small subunit ribosomal RNA
Source: RNAcentral
GACGAACGCUGGCGGCGUGCUUAACACAUGCAAGUCGAACGCUGAAGCUCAGCUUUUGUUGGGUGGAUGAGUGGCGAACGGGUGAGUAACACGUGAGUAACCUGCCCCCUUCUUUGGGAUAACGCCCGGAAACGGGUGCUAAUACUGGAUAUUCACUGGUCUUCGCAUGGGGAUUGGUGGAAAGGGUUUUUCUGGUGGGGGAUGGGCUCGCGGCCUAUCAGCUUGUUGGUGGGGUGAUGGCCUACCAAGGCUUUGACGGGUAGCCGGCCUGAGAGGGUGACCGGCCACAUUGGGACUGAGAUACGGCCCAGACUCCUACGGGAGGCAGCAGUGGGGAAUAUGGCACAAUGGGCGCAAGCCUGAUGCAGCGACGCCGCGUGAGGGAUGGAGGCCUUCGGGUUGUGAACCUCUUUCGCUCAUGGUCAAGCCGCAACAAUGGUUGUGGUGAGGGUAGUGGGUAAAGAAGCGCCGGCUAACUACGUG